UACGUAGGGUGCAAGCGUUGUCCGGAAUUAUUGGGCGUAAAGAGCUCGUAGGCGGUCUGUCGCGUCGGAUGUGAAAAUCCAGGGCUCAACCCUGGACCUGCAUUCGAUACGGGCAGACUAGAGUUCGGUAGGGGAGACUGGAAUUCCUGGUGUAGCGGUGAAAUGCGCAGAUAUCAGGAGGAACACCGGUGGCGAAGGCGGGUCUCUGGGCCGAAACUGACGCUGAGGCGCGAAAGCCAGGGGAGCAAACGGG
This 253-nucleotide ribosomal RNA is filed under the name uncultured bacterium. Its description in RNAcentral is "partial 16S ribosomal RNA". It matches the Rfam family "Bacterial small subunit ribosomal RNA", at positions 524 to 776 of the family's 1533-position model. The record is from RNAcentral.